Molecule: ribosomal RNA, 465 nt
Filed under: uncultured bacterium
Lineage: Bacteria
Description: partial 16S ribosomal RNA
Rfam family: Bacterial small subunit ribosomal RNA
Source: RNAcentral
GACGAACGCUGGCGGCGUGCUUAACACAUGCAAGUCGUACGGUAAGGCCCUUUCGGGGGUACACGAGUGGCGAACGGGUGAGUAACACGUGAGUAACCUGCCCACAACUUUGGGAUAACGCUAGGAAACUGGUGCUAAUACUGGAUAUGUGCUCCUGCUGCAUGGUGGGGGUUGGAAAGCUCCGGCGGUUGUGGAUGGACUCGCGGCCUAUCAGCUUGUUGGUGGGGUAGUGGCCUACCAAGGCGGCGACGGGUAGCCGGCCUGAGAGGGUGACCGGCCACAUUGGGACUGAGAUACGGCCCAGACUCCUACGGGAGGCAGCAGUGGGGAAGAGUGCACAAUGGGCGCAAGCCUGAUGCAGCAACGCCGCGUGCGGGAUGACGGCCUUCGGGUUGUAAACCGCUUUCAGCAGGGACGAAGCUUUUUGUGACGGUACCUGCAGAAGAAGCACCGGCUAACUACGUG